This 292-nucleotide ribosomal RNA is filed under the name uncultured bacterium. RNAcentral's name for it is "partial 16S ribosomal RNA". It matches the Rfam family "Bacterial small subunit ribosomal RNA", at positions 505 to 796 of the family's 1533-position model. The record is from RNAcentral.
GUGUCAGCAGCCGCGGUAAUACAGAGACUGCAAGCGUUAUUCGGAUUCACUGGGCGUAAAGGGUGCGCAGGCGGCCAGAUGUGUCAGGUGUGAAAGCCCGGGGCUUAACCCCGGAAUUGCGCCUGAAACUGUCUGGCUAGAGUACUGGAGAGGGUAGCGGAAUUCACGGUGUAGCAGUGAAAUGCGUAGAUAUCGUGAGGAACACCAGAGGCGAAGGCGGCUACCUGGACAGUAACUGACGCUCAGGCACGAAAGCGUGGGGAGCAAAAGGGAUUAGAAACCCCCGUAGUCC